Molecule: ribosomal RNA, 301 nt
Filed under: uncultured bacterium
Lineage: Bacteria
Description: partial 16S ribosomal RNA
Rfam family: Bacterial small subunit ribosomal RNA
Source: RNAcentral
CAGUAGCCACGGGAAUACAGAGGAUGCAAGCGUUAUCCGGAAUGAUUGGGCGUAAAGUGCGCGUAGGCGGUUUUUUAAGUCUGAUGUGAAAGCCCACGGCUCAACCGUGGAGGGUCAUUGGAAACUGGAAAACUUGAGUGCAGAAGAGGAAAGUGGAAUUCCAUGUGUAGCGGUGAAAUGCGCAGAGAUAUGGAGGAACACCAGUGGCGAAGGCGACUUUCUGGUCUGUAACUGACGCUGAUGUGCGAAAGCGUGGGGACCAAACAGGAUUAGAUACCCCAGUAGUCCCUGUCUCUUAUAC